UAAUUCCUUCUCAUCGCUGUGGCUAAUUAGCUCGAUUGUUACUUGACACUUGACAGCGUGAGAUCGAACGUACUGCUGCCUGUGACCAGUUGCCGUUGCCGGCAGAUGAAUACAUACAUACUGUACUGCGAUACUGGCUGCCUGAAGAAUACGUCGGGUGGGGUCCACCCGGUUUAGAGGCAUCGCCAUGCAUGCGUGCGUGCAUGGCCACCAGGGCCGUACGUCCUGGAUCGGACGGAUGCCUCUGCCCUGGACCCCCUCCUACCGGGAAUGACGCGACGUGUGCCGGACGGACGGACGUAGCAGCAGACGAUCGAUGAUGAUUAAGCCGUGGAUACAAGGCAGGCAGGCAAUCACUGCUACAGUAUAGACGUGUGCCACGGCCACCUCUCUGUGUUUUGUUUUUGUAGGACUGUACUGCCUUCCGGUUUUAUUAGUGGUGGACACAAUAAUUUAUCUUUGCAAGAUGGCCGGGUUAUGUGUUGAGCUACUUUUCUGCGGGAAGAGUCAACACUAACAGACAUUGGACGUCGUGGCAGUACAAGUUAGAAUGCUUCCUGCUUUAAUCUUUCUCUCACUCAAGCAAGGCAAUUCGUUUUUUUUUCUUUCAUAAUUUUUUUGGAUAAGAUUUUUCUUUGAUAAUCGGUAGCUAGAAACCUGCAGAGCUAACGCUCGAAUGGAAAUGAUUAUUUUGACGAUAGGAGUAGCAUUUCUUUGUUUUCAUUUUCAGGGUGUUCUGGAGGCCCCGGGCAUAGGGGGGAUAUAGCAGGCAGGCACCAGCAGGACAUAAUGCUCCGUGCAGAGCUUUGGCGUUAAGCGACGUGUGCGUGCACAGUGCUUAAUUGCUGCUGCUGCUGCCAGUAGGUCAAUUAAGGGGAACCAGUACUAAUGAAUAACGAGAGGGCCCACCCGCAUGCAUCCUGCGCCCGUAAACAUCACAUCAGCUGUUACUUCCACGGAAAAGCAAAGGCAGUGGCGACUGUUCCCGGCCCCUUCUCGUCAACAACAAUGGCGAUUGAUGCACGCUGUCCCUCUUCACGUAGG
RNAcentral lists this long non-coding RNA (1044 nucleotides) under Brachypodium distachyon (stiff brome). RNAcentral's name for it is "long non-coding RNA (BDIS_LNC000048)". Lineage: Eukaryota; Viridiplantae; Streptophyta; Magnoliopsida; Poales; Poaceae. The record is from RNAcentral.